This 785-nucleotide ribosomal RNA is filed under the name Tenuibiotus cf. ciprianoi ES086. RNAcentral's name for it is "partial large subunit ribosomal RNA". It matches the Rfam family "Eukaryotic large subunit ribosomal RNA", at positions 44 to 650 of the family's 3401-position model. The record is from RNAcentral. Lineage: Eukaryota; Metazoa; Tardigrada; Eutardigrada; Parachela; Macrobiotidae.
UACUAAGCGGAGGAAAAGUAACCAACGGGGAUUCCCAUAGUAACUGCGAGUGAAAGGGGAACAGCCCAGCGCCGAAUCCUGCUGCUGGUAACGGUGGCAGGAACUGUGGCGUGAAGAAGGUGGUUACCGGUGUGGCUUGCUUGCGUAAGUCCUCCUGAGUGAGGCUCCAUCCCAUGGAGGGUGCAAGGCCCGUAUCGUGAGCAGCUGAUGCCGGUGUACACUUUCGGAGAGUCGCCUUGUUUGCGAGUACAAGGUGAAGUCGGUGGUAAACUCCAUCGAAGGCUAAAUAUGACCACGAGUCCGAUAGCGAACAAGUACCGUGAGGGAAAAUUGAAAAGCACUUUGAAGAGAGAGCGAAACAGUGCGUGAAACCGCUCAGAGGCAAGCAGAUGGGGCCUCGAAGGCAUAGCAGUGAAUUCAGCUGGCGAGUGGGUGGCAAACCGGUGAUGGGAUCGCAAGACCCUAGUCGGUUCUGUGUUCUGCCUUACUUGUCGGUGCACUUUCGCUGUUUGUACGCCACCGCCGUUGAGCGAGCAUCCGUCGGGUAUGCAUGUUGAAGCCUUACUCCUUUACGGGCGUAGGUGCUUACGGCUAACCUGUACGCGUUUGCGCCUCAACCGGUCAUGUCAACGGGUGCCAGCGUUAGCGUUGGGCCGGUGCGCUCUUCAGCGUAUUGUGGGAUGACGAGCUUGCUCGGCUCCUCGGUGCGCAGUGGAAUCGUUGCCGGUUUUCAACGUGGGCACCUUGUAGAUUCGGUGGCGAGUAGAUGGCUGCCUAUCUAACCC